UGCCUGUACCAUAACCGACACAGGUGGGUAGGUAGAGUAUACUAAGGGGCGCGAGAUAACUCUCUCUAAGGAACUCGGCAAAAUGACUCCGUAACUUCGGGAGAAGGAGUGCCUUAUUUAUAAGGUUGCAAUAACAAGAUCCAAGCAACUGUUUAUCAAAAACACAGGUCUCCGCUAAGUCGUAAGACGAUGUAUGGGGGCUGACGCCUGCCCAGUGCCAGAAGGUUAAAGAAGUUGGUUAGUGUAUGCGAAGCUGAUGACUGAAGCCCUGGUGAACGGCGGCCGUAACGAUAACGGUCCUAAGGUAGCGAAAUUCCUUGUCGGGUAAGUUCCGACCCGCACGAAAGGCGUAAUGAUUUGGAUACUGUCUCGGAGAGAGGCUCGGUGAAAUAGACUUGUCUGUGAAGAUGCGGACUACCUGCACCAGGACAGAAAGACCCUAUGAAGCUUUACUGUAACUUGAAAUUGGAAUUGGACUUUGCUUGCGCAGUAUAGGUGGGAAGCGUUGAAGAUAUUCUUGCGGGAGUAUUGGAGCUAUCAGUGAGAUACCACUCUUGUAAUGUUAGAUUUCUAACUUUGAACCAUAAUCUGGUCAAAGAACAGUUUCAGGUGGGCAGUUUGACUGGGGCGGUCGCCUCCCAAAUGGUAACGGAGGCGUACAAAGGUUUCCUCUGAACGGAUAGAAAUCGUAUCUAGAGUGUAAAGGCAUAAGGAAGCUUGACUGUGAGACCUACAAGUCGAGCAGGGACGAAAGUCGGUCUUAGUGAUCUGACGGUACUGAGUGGAAAGGCCGUCACUCAACGGAUAAAAGUUACUCUAGGGAUAACAGGCUGAUCUCCCCCAAGAGUUCACAUCGACGGGGAGGCCUGGCACCUCGAUGUCGGCUCAUCGCAUCCUGGGGCGGUAGUACGUCCCAAGGGUUGGGCUGUUCGCCCAUGAAAGCGGUACGCGAGCUGGGUUCAGAACGUCGUGAGACAGUUCGGUCCAUAUCCGGUGUAGGCGUUAGAAUAUUGAGAGGAGCCUUCUUUAGUACGAGAGGACCGAGAAGGACACACCGCUGGUGUACCAGUUAUCGUGCCAACGGUAAACGCUGGGUAGCUAUGUGUGGAGUGGAUAACCGCUGAAAGCAUCUAAGUGGGAAGCCCACCUCAAGAUGAGUAUUCUGUGUUAAGGUCACGGGAAGACGACCCGUAAAUAGGCACGAGGUGGAAGUACAGUAA
RNAcentral lists this ribosomal RNA (1220 nucleotides) under metagenome. RNAcentral's name for it is "bacterial LSU rRNA". It matches the Rfam family "Bacterial large subunit ribosomal RNA", at positions 1639 to 2881 of the family's 2925-position model. The record is from RNAcentral.